GGCAGUGUAGUAUAAUGGGUAAGGACUUCGGCUUGUAACCUAAAGGUCGCAGGUUCGAUUCCUAGGUAGGGCACUGCCG
This 79-nucleotide transfer RNA is filed under the name Anguilla anguilla (European eel). RNAcentral's name for it is "tRNA-OTHER". Lineage: Eukaryota; Metazoa; Chordata; Actinopteri; Anguilliformes; Anguillidae. The record is from RNAcentral.